CCUACGGGUGGCUGCAGUAAGGAAUAUUGGACAAUGGAGGCAACUCUGAUCCAGCCAUGCCGCGUGAAGGAUUAAGGCCCUAUGGGUUGUAAACUUCUUUUAGACGGGACAAAACCCCUUUACGUGUAAAGGGUUGAUGGUACUGUCAGAAUAAGCAUCGGCUAACUUCGUGCCAGCAGCCGCGGUAAUACGAAGUAUGCAAGCGUUAUCCGGAUUUAUUGGGGCGUAAGGGGACUUAGACGUCCUAAUUGAAAGCCUGCAGCUUAACUGCAGAAUUGCCGUUGAUACUGUUAGUCUUGAGUACAGUUGAGGUAGGCGGAAUGUGUCAUGUAGCGGUGAAAUGCUUAGAUAUGACACAGAACACCGAUUGCGAAGGCAGCUUGCUAAGCUGUAACUGACGCUGAGGCACGAAAGCGUGGGGAGCAAACAGGAUUAGAUACCCCUGUAGUC
RNAcentral lists this ribosomal RNA (450 nucleotides) under uncultured bacterium. RNAcentral's name for it is "partial 16S ribosomal RNA". It matches the Rfam family "Bacterial small subunit ribosomal RNA", at positions 338 to 795 of the family's 1533-position model. The record is from RNAcentral.